CUGGCUUCGGAUGAUUCAGCCGUUCAUCACUGCUAAAAGGGGAUAUGGUGUUCUUCUCAGAUCCAGUGGCACAAUCUGCAAUGUGUCUUGUGCUUCCCACUUUUAAGACCUCUGCUUGCUGCAAUUCAUUUCACUGAACAGACAGAAGAGUACCAGGAAGUGGAGAGUUUCUUCUGGGCUAGUGAGCAGAGCUGUAGCCAGAGCUGGCACCGAGGUGGAGUGGGCCUGGGCAGCUUGGAGCAGGAACAAAAGAAGAGGAAGAGGGAGAGGAAAAGGGGAAAGGAGCUGCCUUUAGGCAGUGGCAAGGCAAGUGACAAACAAAUCAUUAAGGCAUUGAUCACCUCAUGUAAAAGAUGGUGAAGGACUUCAGUGAGAAAAGGCAUUAGCAGGUGAGGCUGUGUGACACAAGACAUUCCGUGCCUGGUGCCUGAGGAUCACCCACCAGUGAAGCUACUCCUCCGGCUGAUGGGUCUGUCUGGGCACAGGCGUCAGGCAGAGCACACUGCAAUUGUGCCUCCGUUGCUGCGAGACGUCAGAAAGGCUACAAGCUGAUGGCAUCACUCAGCUCCACUGGGGUAAUCACCACCAGCAGGGACUCUGGCUCACCUAACUCCUCUCUUUAUGUCUGUGUAAUAAACUGUUUCCAGUAGA
Long non-coding RNA from Falco peregrinus (peregrine falcon), 651 nucleotides. RefSeq lists it as uncharacterized. NCBI's taxonomy places the organism in Eukaryota, Metazoa, Chordata, Aves, Falconiformes, Falconidae. The record is from RefSeq and is a predicted model, not a curated record. The transcript is spliced from 3 exons.